UACGUAGGGGGCAAGCGUUGUCCGGAUUUAUUGGGCGUAAAGAGCGUGUAGGCGGCCUGAAAGGUCAGCUGUGAAAACUCGAGGCUCAACCUCGAGACGUCGGUUGAAACCAUCUGGCUAGAGUCCGGAAGAGGAGAGUGGAAUUCCCGGUGUAGCGGUGAAAUGCGCAGAUAUCGGGAAGAACACCCGUGGCGAAGGCGGUUCUCUGGGCAUUACCUGACGCUGAGGAGCGAAAGUGUGGGGAGCGAACAGG
This 253-nucleotide ribosomal RNA is filed under the name uncultured bacterium. Its description in RNAcentral is "partial 16S ribosomal RNA". It matches the Rfam family "Bacterial small subunit ribosomal RNA", at positions 524 to 776 of the family's 1533-position model. The record is from RNAcentral.